Molecule: ribosomal RNA, 441 nt
Filed under: uncultured bacterium
Lineage: Bacteria
Description: SSU rRNA
Rfam family: Bacterial small subunit ribosomal RNA
Source: RNAcentral
AGAGCGAACGCUGGCGGCAGGCCUAAUACAUGCAAGUCGAACGCACCUUCGGGUGAGUGGCGGACGGGUGAGUAACACGUGGGAACGUGCCUUUUGGUUCGGAAUAAUCCGGGGAAACCUGGCCUAAUACCGGAUGUGCCCUUCGGGGGAAAGAUUUAUCGCCAUUAGAGCGGCCCGCGUCUGAUUAGCUUGUUGGUGGGGUAACGGCCCACCAAGGCGACGAUCAGUAGCUGGUCUGAGAGGAUGAUCAGCCACACUGGGACUGAGACACGGCCCCAGACUCCUACGGGAGGCAGCAGUAGGGAAUCUUGCGCAAUGGGCGAAAGCCUGACGCAGCCAUGCCGCGUGAAUGAUGAAGGUCUUAGGAUUGUAAAUUCUUUCAGCGGGAAGAUAAUGACUGUACCGCAGAAGAGCUCCGGCUAACUUCGUGCCAGCAGCCGC